CGUAUCACUUAAAGCGAUUCAGCGGGUUACGAUUGACGGAGCGAAGCGACGUCAAAGCGUAUACAAAGUCGAGUCGGUUUAAGGAUACGUUCGUUGGGUAGGGGAGCGUUCUGUAAGCCUGUGAAGGUGGCCUGUGAGGGUUGCUGGAGGUAUCAGAAGUGCGAAUGCUGACAUAAGUAACGAUAAAGCGGGUGAAAAGCCCGCUCGCCGGAAGACCAAGGGUUCCUGUCCAACGUUAAUCGGGGCAGGGUGAGUCGACCCCUAAGGCGAGGCCGAAAGGCGUAGUCGAUGGGAAACAGGUUAAUAUUCCUGUACUUGGUGUUACUGCGAAGGGGGGACGGAGAAGGCUAUGUUGGCCGGGCGACGGUUGUCCCGGUUUAAGCGUGUAGGCUGGUUUUCCAGGCAAAUCCGGAAAAUCAAGGCUGAGGCGUGAUGACGAGGCACUACGGUGCUGAAGCAACAAAUGCCCUGCUUCCAGGAAAAGCCUCUAAGCAUCAGGUAACAUCAAAUCGUACCCCAAACCGACACAGGUGGUCAGGUAGAGAAUACCAAGGCGCUUGAGAGAACUCGGGUGAAGGAACUAGGCAAAAUGGUGCCGUAACUUCGGGAGAAGGCACGCUGACACGUAGGUGAAGUGAUUUACUCACGGAGCUGAAGUCAGUCGAAGAUACCAGCUGGCUGCAACUGUUUAUUAAAAACACAGCACUGUGCAAACACGAAAGUGGACGUAUACGGUGUGACGCCUGCCCGGUGCCGGAAGGUUAAUUGAUGGGGUCAGCGCAAGCGAAGCUCCUGAUCGAAGCCCCGGUAAACGGCGGCCGUAACUAUAACGGUCCUAAGGUAGCGAAAUUCCUUGUCGGGUAAGUUCCGACCUGCACGAAUGGCGUAAUGAUGGCCAGGCUGUCUCCACCCGAGACUCAGUGAAAUUGAACUCGCUGUGAAGAUGCAGUGUACCCGCGGCAAGACGGAAAGACCCCGUGAACCUUUACUAUAGCUUGACACUGAACAUUGAGCCUUGAUGUGUAGGAUAGGUGGGAGGCUUUGAAGUGUGGACGCCAGUCUGCAUGGAGCCGACCUUGAAAUACCACCCUUUAAUGUUUGAUGUUCUAACGUGGACCCGUAAUCCGGGUUGCGGACAGUGUCUGGUGGGUAGUUUGACUGGGGCGGUCUCCUCCUAAAGAGUAACGGAGGAGCACGAAGGUUGGCUAAUCCUGGUCGGACAUCAGGAGGUUAGUGCAAUGGCAUAAGCCAGCUUGACUGCGAGCGUGACGGCGCGAGCAGGUGCGAAAGCAGGUCAUAGUGAUCCGGUGGUUCUGAAUGGAAGGGCCAUCGCUCAACGGAUAAAAGGUACUCCGGGGAUAACAGGCUGAUACCGCCCAAGAGUUCAUAUCGACGGCGGUGUUUGGCACCUCGAUGUCGGCUCAUCACAUCCUGGGGCUGAAGUAGGUCCCAAGGGUAUGGCUGUUCGCCAUUUAAAGUGGUACGCGAGCUGGGUUUAGAACGUCGUGAGACAGUUCGGUCCCUAUCUGCCGUGGGCGCUGGAGAACUGAGGGGGGCUGCUCCUAGUACGAGAGGACCGGAGUGGACGCAUCACUGGUGUUCGGGUUGUCAUGCCAAUGGCACUGCCCGGUAGCUAAAUGCGGAAGAGAUAAGUGCUGAAAGCAUCUAAGCACGAAACUUGCCCCGAGAUGAGUUCUCCCUGAGACUUAGAGUCUCCUGAAGGAACGUUGAAGACGACGACGUUGAUAGGCCGGGUGUGUAAGCGCAGCGAUGCGUUGAGCUAACCGGUACUAAUGAACCGUGAGGCUUAACCUUACA
This 1818-nucleotide ribosomal RNA is filed under the name Salmonella enterica. RNAcentral's name for it is "partial 23S ribosomal RNA". It matches the Rfam family "Bacterial large subunit ribosomal RNA", at positions 1154 to 2925 of the family's 2925-position model. The record is from RNAcentral. RNAcentral also lists the same sequence under 1 other name. Lineage: Bacteria; Pseudomonadati; Pseudomonadota; Gammaproteobacteria; Enterobacterales; Enterobacteriaceae.